RNAcentral lists this long non-coding RNA (365 nucleotides) under Phoenix dactylifera (date palm). RNAcentral describes it as "long non-coding RNA (PDAC_LNC002179)". Lineage: Eukaryota; Viridiplantae; Streptophyta; Magnoliopsida; Arecales; Arecaceae. The record is from RNAcentral.
UGAGAGUGCUCCGACAGAUGGCAAAACGAAUGCGAGUUCUAAGACCAUGAAUAACACAUCUGAGAGUGGCUUACGUUACAACAAUAUAGCCAGACAAAGCGUGUCAUAUGCCAAACCCUAAAGACUCUGCUGACCGGCGAUGUUCGUCUGUUAGGCAAAAAGUUGUUUCAGAAACAAAUUUUAAAAGAUUAGUUUCAAAUUAAGAAACUAAUAAAUGACAUGCAGACAGAAUUUAGAGCCAUUCCGAUCUGGUAUAUAGAUACAACGCUAGAUCCUUUCCAGCUACGAUACAGACGGAAUCCUAGAGCCUUUCCAAUGUGCUUUUUUAACAUAAUAUUUUUUUAAUAUAUAGAUAGCUAAUAUGA